UAGGGAAUAUUGGACAAUGGGGGCAACCCUGAUCCAGCCAUGCCGCGUGAGUGAAGAAGGCCCUCGGGUUGUAAAGCUCUUUUGUCCGGAAAGAAAAGCGUUCGGUGAAUACCCGGAUGUUCUGACGGUACCGGAAGAAUAAGCACCGGCUAACUUCGUGCCAGCAGCCGCGGUAAUACGAAGGGUGCAAGCGUUACUCGGAAUUACUGGGCGUAAAGCGUGCGUAGGUGGUUCGUUAAGUCUGAUGUGAAAGCCCUGGGCUCAACCUGGGAAUGGCAUUGGAAACUGGCGGACUGGAGUGCGGUAGAGGGUAGCGGAAUUCCCGGUGUAGCAGUAAAAUGCGUAGAGAUCGGGAGGAACAUCCGUGGCGAAGGCGGCUACCUGGACCAGCACUGACACUGAGGCACGAAAGCGUGGGGAGCAAACA
Molecule: ribosomal RNA, 427 nt
Filed under: uncultured bacterium
Lineage: Bacteria
Description: bacterial SSU rRNA
Rfam family: Bacterial small subunit ribosomal RNA
Source: RNAcentral